AUUGAACGCUGGCGGCAGGCCUAACACAUGCAAGUCGAGCGGAUGAAGGGAGCUUGCUCCUGGAUUCAGCGGCGGACGGGUGAGUAAUGCCUAGGAAUCUGCCUGGUAGUGGGGGAUAACGUCCGGAAACGGGCGCUAAUACCGCAUACGUCCUAAGGGAGAAAGUGGGGGAACUUCGGACCUCACGCUAUCAGAUGAGCCUAGGUCGGAUUAGCUAGUUGGUGGGGUAAAGGCCUACCAAGGCGACGAUCCGUAACUGGUCUGAGAGGAUGAUCAGUCACACUGGAACUGAGACACGGUCCAGACUCCUACGGGAGGCAGCAGUGGGGAAUAUUGGACAAUGGGCGAAAGCCUGAUCCAGCCAUGCCGCGUGUGUGAAGAAGGUCUUCGGAUUGUAAAGCACUUUAAGUUGGGAGGAAGGGCAGUAAGUUAAUACCUUGCUGUUUUGACGUUACCAACAGAAUAAGCACCGGCUAACUUCGUG
Molecule: ribosomal RNA, 484 nt
Filed under: uncultured bacterium
Lineage: Bacteria
Description: partial 16S ribosomal RNA
Rfam family: Bacterial small subunit ribosomal RNA
Source: RNAcentral